GGAGCGACGCUCAGAAAAAGACGAAAAGUAGGUUCUAAAGAGAUUACCUCCAUAAGAACCUCUUGUACUGCGAAGAUUGUUUAUUAAUAAUAUAAAGAGAAAGUAGAAGCCGAGCCUUCGGGCUAGGGUUUGACUGACAGUCCUAUAGCUCAGUUGGUUAGAGCGCUACACUGAUAAUGUAGAGGUCGGCAGUUCAACUCUGCCUGGGACUACGACAUAGUCUUGGUGAGAGACACAGAGGAUUCUUAAUUACUAAUUCUAAUUACUAAUUACCAAUCACUGACCGCCUUCACUAACCACUAUCUCGGGGGAUUAGCUCAGCUGGCUAGAGCACCUGCGUUGCACGCAGGGGGUCAACGGUUCGAAUCCGUUAUUCUCCACUCUUGAGAGUCCAAUUGAUUGGAAUAUUCUCAAACGACCUUUGACAUGAUGUAACAGAAAAAAGUAAAGUUAAAGCUGAAAGUAUAUAUUGACCAUACGUUGUCGGUAA
This 490-nucleotide transfer RNA is filed under the name Bacteroides stercoris ATCC 43183. RNAcentral describes it as "16S-23S ribosomal RNA intergenic spacer". The stretch from base 139 to 212 matches the Rfam family "tRNA". Lineage: Bacteria; Pseudomonadati; Bacteroidota; Bacteroidia; Bacteroidales; Bacteroidaceae. The record is from RNAcentral.